AUUGCUUCUCGGCCUUUUGGCUAAGAUCAAGCUGUUGUCAGAUGAGUAACUGCUACGUCCCCAAUGCAGGACAAUAUAUUAAAUGGAUUUUGGGAGCAGGGA
This 102-nucleotide small nuclear RNA is filed under the name Suricata suricatta (meerkat). RNAcentral's name for it is "U2 spliceosomal RNA (ENSSSUG00005015410.1)". It matches the Rfam family "U2 spliceosomal RNA", at positions 1 to 115 of the family's 192-position model. Rfam says of the family: U2 is a small nuclear RNA (snRNA) component of the spliceosome (involved in pre-mRNA splicing). Complementary binding between U2 snRNA (in an area lying towards the 5' end but 3' to hairpin I) and the branchpoint sequence (BPS) of the intron results the bulging out of an unpaired adenosine, on the BPS, which initiates a nucleophilic attack at the intronic 5' splice site, thus starting the first of two transesterification reactions that mediate splicing. Lineage: Eukaryota; Metazoa; Chordata; Mammalia; Carnivora; Herpestidae. The record is from Rfam by way of RNAcentral.